GCCGUGAUCGUAUAGUGGUUUGAACUCUGCGUUGUGGCCACAGAAACCCUGGUUCGAAUCCAGGUCACGGCA
RNAcentral lists this transfer RNA (72 nucleotides) under Danio rerio (zebrafish). It matches the Rfam family "tRNA". From Rfam's summary of the family: Transfer RNA (tRNA) molecules are approximately 80 nucleotides in length. Their secondary structure includes four short double-helical elements and three loops (D, anti-codon, and T loops). Lineage: Eukaryota; Metazoa; Chordata; Actinopteri; Cypriniformes; Danionidae. The record is from Rfam by way of RNAcentral.